Molecule: ribosomal RNA, 427 nt
Filed under: uncultured bacterium
Lineage: Bacteria
Description: bacterial SSU rRNA
Rfam family: Bacterial small subunit ribosomal RNA
Source: RNAcentral
GAACGAGAAAGUGGAGCAAUCCAUGACUAAAGUGGCGACCGGNGUGAGUAACACGUGACUAACCUACCCUAGAGUGGGGGAUAACCUCGGGAAACCGGGGCUAAUACCGCAUAACAUCGCGAGGGGAAGAUCCUUGCGAUCAAAGGAGCAAUUCGCUCAAGGAGGGGGUCGCGGCUGAUUAGCUAGUUGGUGAGGUAACGGCUCACCAAGGCUUAGAUCAGUAUCCGGCCUGAGAGGGCGCACGGACACACUGGAACUGAAACACGGUCCAGACUCCUACGGGAGGCAGCAGUGGGGAAUUUUGCGCAAUGGGGGAAACCCUGACGCAGCAACGCCGCGUGGAGGAUGAAGCCCUUUGGGGCGUAAACUCCUUUCGACCAAGACGAUAAUGACGGUACUGGUGGAAGAAGCACCGGCUAACUCUGUG